Molecule: ribosomal RNA, 23 nt
Filed under: Strongyloides cebus
Lineage: Eukaryota; Metazoa; Nematoda; Chromadorea; Rhabditida; Strongyloididae
Also listed under: 1 other name
Description: partial 5.8S ribosomal RNA
Source: RNAcentral
AUAAAAUCGUGUCGGUGGAUCAU